UACGAAGGGGGCUAGCGUUGCUCGGAAUCACUGGGCGUAAAGGGCGCGUAGGCGGCCAUUCAAGUCAGGGGUGAAAGCCCAAGGCUCAACCUUGGAAUUGCCUUUGAUACUGUUUGGCUUGAGACCGGAAGAGGUAAGUGGAACUGCGAGUGUAGAGGUGAAAUUCGUAGAUAUUCGCAAGAACACCAGUGGCGAAGGCGGCUUACUGGUCCGGUUCUGACGCUGAGGCGCGAAAGCGUGGGGAGCAAACAGG
This 253-nucleotide ribosomal RNA is filed under the name uncultured bacterium. Its description in RNAcentral is "partial 16S ribosomal RNA". It matches the Rfam family "Bacterial small subunit ribosomal RNA", at positions 524 to 776 of the family's 1533-position model. The record is from RNAcentral.